RNAcentral lists this ribosomal RNA (304 nucleotides) under Campylobacter sp. oral taxon G43. Its description in RNAcentral is "bacterial SSU rRNA". It matches the Rfam family "Bacterial small subunit ribosomal RNA", at positions 147 to 454 of the family's 1533-position model. Lineage: Bacteria; Pseudomonadati; Campylobacterota; Epsilonproteobacteria; Campylobacterales; Campylobacteraceae. The record is from RNAcentral.
CAGUUGGAAACGACUGCUAAUACUCUAUACUCCUUCUAAGCAUAAGCUUAGUCGGGAAAGUUUUUCGGUGUAGGAUGAGGCUAUAUCGUAUCAGCUAGUUGGUAAGGUAACGGCCUACCAAGGCUAUGACGCGUAACUGGUCUGAGAGGAUGAUCAGUCACACUGGAACUGAGACACGGUCCAGACUCCUACGGGAGGCAGCAGUAGGGAAUAUUGCUCAAUGGGGGAAACCCUGAAGCAGCAACGCCGCGUGGAGGAUGACACUUUUCGGAGCGUAAACUCCUUUUCUUGGGAAAGAAUUAUG